Molecule: ribosomal RNA, 345 nt
Filed under: Triticum aestivum (bread wheat)
Lineage: Eukaryota; Viridiplantae; Streptophyta; Magnoliopsida; Poales; Poaceae
Description: partial small subunit ribosomal RNA
Source: RNAcentral
AUGUUGGAUGUUGCACAACCAACUUUCCACUUUUAUCACAAAAGUGAGAAGACUAGCGAAGUGGUUGGUGUCGGCGUGAAGAAACUUGAAGCUGCCAUGCAUGCAAAGUCUCCACAGGCGGCGACGACUAUAAUGAGGAUCACGGUAGCAGUGAAGUCAGAACCGGCAAGCAGGGAGGAGGGCAACCAGCUUGAAAGCAGACUUCAUCCCGAGAAAGACCCUACAUCUAAAGGCCGAUCAGCGCGUUGCCGAAGGCCCAGGUGGGUGCGUGGGCUGAUCCAGAUGUUGAAGAGCAGACUACAGCAAGGAGAAAACAGAAAAGUUGCCACAUGUAUUGCAGGUUGA